This 58-nucleotide transfer RNA is filed under the name Pselaphinae sp. 3 EF-2015. RNAcentral's name for it is "tRNA-Ser". The record is from RNAcentral. Lineage: Eukaryota; Metazoa; Arthropoda; Insecta; Coleoptera; Staphylinidae.
GAAUUAAUUUUUUAUUAAGCUUCUAACUUAAUUUUUAGCAUAAAAUGUUAUUAAUUCU